RNAcentral lists this ribosomal RNA (429 nucleotides) under uncultured prokaryote. RNAcentral describes it as "partial 16S ribosomal RNA". The record is from RNAcentral.
CCCUAUGGGGUGCAGCGGCCAUAAAGGCAUUUUAUUCUGGGGCACGAGCGAUCAUGUGACUCCCUUUGCCCAUCACCGCUUCGUGCAGAGCGCCAUUCCUCACAUUGUUUUUCAUCCUUUCACUGGGGAAGGCCACACGCUGAAUUAUGAGCAUCCGGAAAUAGUCAAUCCGCUGCUGAUCGAUUUUUUACAGGCAUGAUGUUUUUUAUCACGCGCCUCUCCAAAUAGCGCGGUGACAAUAGAAUACCCUGCAUUCCACUAUGAGUGAAAUGCAGGGUGAUUUUUUUGUCGUCAACCGCGCGGGGCGGCGAAGUUAUUUUUGUCCGCCCGCGGCAGCAGGAUUGCUGUCAAGUUGGACGGUGUUGGGGCUUCCCGCGACGAUGUCCAGCAGUUCCACGUCGAAAAUGAGCACGGAAUUGGCGGGGGAGC